GGAGUAUAGUUGACACACAAUGUUAUAUUUCAGGUGUACAACAUAGUGAUUCCACAAGUUUAUAUUAUGCUACGCUCACCACAAGUGUAACUACCAUCUGUGACCAUACAACACUGUUAUAAUACCACCGACUAUCAUCCUUACAUUGUACCUUUCAUUUCUAAUUCCAUGAUCUGUAAGAACAGAAAUUUCACACAGCACAAGCUUUUCUAGAGAAUAGAGAAGGGCGUAUUUCCCAACCCAUCUUUGAGGCCAGCACAACGGUGACACCGAAAUCAGACAAGGACUGUGUAACAA
Long non-coding RNA from Leopardus geoffroyi (Geoffroy's cat), 297 nucleotides. RefSeq lists it as uncharacterized. The record is from RefSeq and is a predicted model, not a curated record. NCBI's taxonomy places the organism in Eukaryota, Metazoa, Chordata, Mammalia, Carnivora, Felidae. The transcript is spliced from 2 exons.